RNAcentral lists this long non-coding RNA (346 nucleotides) under Rattus norvegicus (Norway rat). RNAcentral describes it as "long non-coding RNA NONRATT024699". The record is from RNAcentral. Lineage: Eukaryota; Metazoa; Chordata; Mammalia; Rodentia; Muridae.
GGCCCGGGAAGGCGGCUUGAGUCGGGGUCGAUGGAUAGGAGAGCUGCAUCCUGGGGAGAUUGCGGCUGGCUACAGCAUUAGGAGUGGUCCUCCAAGUCCAGGCUGAAGACGUCCCUGCCUGGGGAAGUAAGAUACAAAGGGGCAAAUCAGGAGCCAGCCUUGUGUUACCUUGGGAUACACAGACACCUGUUCAAGGCUGCUGGGAAGACGAGUGGUGUGCUCACCUGCUUUUAUUUCCUUCUGUAACACCAUCAGAGGGAGUCUCAGAGAACCCAGGAGGAAGAGAAAAGAAACUGUUUGCAAAGGCAAAAGAUAAAAAGAAACCCGGAUGAUAGAGGGAAUGAAA